AGGGAGACAACAAUGCAAACUUAUUGUGAUCUCUUUCGGGUUCUUGAGAGCGGCGUACGGGUGCGGCCCUCGUCUUAACCUGCCUUUAUCUGGGGGAUAGCCUUUCGAAAGGAAGAUUAAUACCCCAUAAUAUACCGGAUGGCAUCAUUCGGUAUUGAAAACUCCGGUGGAUAGAGAUGGGCACGCGCAAGAUUAGAUAGUUGGUGAGGUAACGGCUCACCAAGUCUGCGAUCUUUAGGGGGCCUGAGAGGGUGAUCCCCCACACUGGUACUGAGACACGGACCAAACUCCUACGGGAGGCAGCAGUGAGGAAUAUUGGACAAUGGGUGAGAGCCUGAUCCAGCCAUCCCGCGUGAAGGACGACGGCCCUAUGGGUUGUAAACUUCUUUUGUAUAGGGAUAAACCUACCCUCGUGAGGGUAGCUGAAGGUACUAUACAAAUAAGCACCGGCUAACUCCGUGCCAGCAGCCGCGGUAAUACGGAGGGUGCAAGCGUUAUCCGGAUUUAUUGGGUUUAAAGGGUCCGUAGGCGGAUCUGUAAGUCAGUGGUGAAAUCUCACAGCUUAACUGUGAAACUGCCAUUGAUACUGCAGGUCUUGAGUGUUGUUGAAGUAGCUGGAAAUAAGUAGUGUAGCGGUGAAAUGCAUAGAUUAUUACUUUAAAAACCACCAAUUUGCCAAAGGCA
Molecule: ribosomal RNA, 684 nt
Filed under: Chryseobacterium sp.
Lineage: Bacteria; Pseudomonadati; Bacteroidota; Flavobacteriia; Flavobacteriales; Weeksellaceae
Description: bacterial SSU rRNA
Rfam family: Bacterial small subunit ribosomal RNA
Source: RNAcentral